AACGCGAAGAACCUUACCAGGUCUUGACAUCCAGGUAAAGCUAAAGAGAUUUAGUGUGUGCUUGCACAAUCUGAGACAGGUGGUGCAUGGUUGUCGUCAGCUCGUGUCGUGAGAUGUUGGGUUAAGUCCCGCAACGAGCGCAACCCACAUUAUUAGUUACUAACGCGUAGAGGCGAGGACUCUAGAGAGACUGCCGGGGUAAGCUGUGAGGAAGGUGGGGACGACGUCAAAUCAUCAUGCCCCUUAUGACCUGGGCUACACACGUGCUACAAUGGCCACUACACAGGGCAGCUACUGUGCGAGGCGGAGCGGAUCUCAAAAAAGUGGUCCCAGUUCGGAUUGUGGGCUGCAACCCGCCCACAUGAAGUCGGAGUUGCUAGUAAUCGCGAAUCAGCCAUGUCGCGGUGAAUACGUUCCCGGGUCUUGUACACACCG
This 435-nucleotide ribosomal RNA is filed under the name uncultured bacterium. RNAcentral's name for it is "bacterial SSU rRNA". It matches the Rfam family "Bacterial small subunit ribosomal RNA", at positions 958 to 1392 of the family's 1533-position model. The record is from RNAcentral.